RNAcentral lists this ribosomal RNA (1337 nucleotides) under uncultured bacterium. Its description in RNAcentral is "bacterial SSU rRNA". It matches the Rfam family "Bacterial small subunit ribosomal RNA", at positions 28 to 1381 of the family's 1533-position model. The record is from RNAcentral.
GACGAACGCUGGCGGCGUGCUUAACACAUGCAAGUCGAGCGGUAAGGCCCUUCGGGGUACACGAGCGGCGAACGGGUGAGUAACACGUGGGUGAUCUGCCUCGUACUUCGGGAUAAGCUUGGGAAACUGGGUCUAAUACCGGAUAUGACCUUCCAGUGCAUGCUGGUGGGUGGAAAGAUUUAUCGGUGCGAGAUGGGCCCGCGGCCUAUCAGCUUGUUGGUGGGGUAAUGGCCCACCAAGGCGACGACGGGUAGCCGACCUGAGAGGGUGACCGGCCACACUGGGACUGAGACAUGGCCCAGACUCCUACGGGAGGCAGCAGUGGGGAAUAUUGCACAAUGGGCGGAAGCCUGAUGCAGCGACGCCGCGUGAGGGAUGACGGCCUUCGGGUUGUAAACCUCUUUCGACAGGGACGAAGCGUGAGUGACGGUACCUGUAGAAGAAGCACCGGCCAACUACGUGCCAGCAGCCGCGGUAAUACGUAGGGUGCGAGCGUUGUCCGGAAUUACUGGGCGUAAAGAGCUUGUAGGCGGUUUGUCGCGUCGUCUGUGAAAACUCACAGCUCAACUGUGAGCUUGCAGGCGAUACGGGCAGACUUGAGUACUUCAGGGGAGACUGGAAUUCCUGGUGUAGCGGUGAAAUGCGCAGAUAUCAGGAGGAACACCGGUGGCGAAGGCGGGUCUCUGGGAAGUAACUGACGCUGAGAAGCGAAAGCGUGGGUAGCGAACAGGAUUAGAUACCCUGGUAGUCCACGCCGUAAACGGUGGGUACUAGGUGUGGGUUUCCUUCCACGGGAUCCGUGCCGUAGCUAACGCAUUAAGUACCCCGCCUGGGGAGUACGGCCGCAAGGCUAAAACUCAAAGGAAUUGACGGGGGCCCGCACAAGCGGCGGAGCAUGUGGAUUAAUUCGAUGCAACGCGAAGAACCUUACCCGGGUUUGACAUACACCGGAAACCUGCAGAGAUGUAGGCCCCCUUGUGGUCGGUGUACAGGUGGUGCAUGGCUGUCGUCAGCUCGUGUCGUGAGAUGUUGGGUUAAGUCCCGCAACGAGCGCAACCCUUAUCUUAUGUUGCCAGCGCGUAAUGGCGGGGACUCGUGAGAGACUGCCGGGGUCAACUCGGAGGAAGGUGGGGACGACGUCAAGUCAUCAUGCCCCUUAUGUCCAGGGCUUCACACAUGCUACAAUGGCCGGUACAGAGGGCUGCGAUACCGUGAGGUGGAGCGAAUCCCUUAAAGCCGGUCUCAGUUCGGAUCGGGGUCUGCAACUCGACCCCGUGAAGUUGGAGUCGCUAGUAAUCGCAGAUCAGCAACGCUGCGGUGAAUACGUUCCCGGGCCU